Molecule: ribosomal RNA, 253 nt
Filed under: uncultured bacterium
Lineage: Bacteria
Description: partial 16S ribosomal RNA
Rfam family: Bacterial small subunit ribosomal RNA
Source: RNAcentral
GACGAACCGAGCGAACGUUGUUCGGAAUCACUGGGCUUAAAGGGCGCGUAGGCGGGUUCUCAAGUCCGGGGUGAAAUCCCACAGCUCAACUGUGGAACUGCCUCGGAUACUGGGGGCCUCGAGGGUGGUAGGGGUAUGCGGAACUAUCGGUGGAGCGGUGAAAUGCGUUGAUAUCGAUAGGAACUCCGGUGGCGAAGGCGGCAUACUGGGCCACAUCUGACGCUGAGGCGCGAAAGCCAGGGGAGCAAACGGG